RNAcentral lists this ribosomal RNA (500 nucleotides) under uncultured bacterium. Its description in RNAcentral is "partial 16S ribosomal RNA". It matches the Rfam family "Bacterial small subunit ribosomal RNA", at positions 28 to 507 of the family's 1533-position model. The record is from RNAcentral.
GACGAACGCUGGCGGCGUGCUUAACACAUGCAAGUCGAACGGGUCUGCCCUGUUUUUUGCGGGGUGGGUCAGUGGCGAACGGGUGAGUAACACGUGAGUAACCUGCCCCUCACUUCUGGAUAACCGCUUGAAAGGGUGGCUAAUACGGGGUGUUCUGGCUGUGCCGCAUGGUGUGGCUGGGAAAGAUUCACUUUUGUGGUGUUUUGGUGGGGGUGGGGCUCGCGGCUUAUCGGCUUGUUGGUGGGUUGAUGGCCUGCGACGGCUUUGACGUGUAGCCGGCCUAGGAUGAUGAGCGGUCACAGUGGUGCGAAGAGGCGGCCCAUACUCCUGCGGGAGGCAGCGGUGGGGGGUAGUGCACGAUGGGCGGAAGCCUGAUGCAGCGACGUGGCGUGGGAGAUGGAGGCCUUCGGGUUGUGAACCUCUUUCGCCGGUGAAGAAGGUCCUGCUCUUUGUGGUGGGGUUGACGGUAGCCGGGUUAUGAAGCGCCGGCUAACUACGUG